GAUGAACGCUGGCGGCGUGCCUAACACAUGCAAGUCGAGCGAUUUACUUCGGUAAAGAGCGGCGGACGGGUGAGUAACGCGUGGGUAACCUGCCCUGUACACACGGAUAACAUACCGAAAGGUAUGCUAAUACGAGAUAAAAUACUUUUGUCGCAUGGUAGAAGUAUCAAAGCUUUUGCGGUACAGGAUGGACCCGCGUCUGAUUAGCUAGUUGGUAAGGUAACGGCUUACCAAGGCGACGAUCAGUAGCCGACCUGAGAGGGUGAUCGGCCACAUUGGAACUGAGACACGGUCCAAACUCCUACGGGAGGCAGCAGUGGGGAAUAUUGCACAAUGGGCGAAAGCCUGAUGCAGCAACGCCGCGUGAGCGAUGAAGGCCUUCGGGUCGUAAAGCUCUGUCCUCAAGGAAGAUAAUGACGGUACUUGAGGAGGAAGCCCCGGCUAACUACGUGCCAGCAGCCGCGGUAAUACGUAGGGGGCUAGCGUUAUCCGGAAUUACUGGGCGUAAAGGGUGCGUAGGUGGUUUCUUAAGUCAGAGGUGAAAGGCUACGGCUCAACCGUAGUAAGCCUUUGAAACUGGGAAACUUGAGUGCAGGAGAGGAGAGUGGAAUUCCUAGUGUAGCGGUGAAAUGCGUAGAUAUUAGGAGGAACACCAGUUGCGAAGGCGGCUCUCUGGACUGUAACUGACACUGAGGCACGAAAGCGUGGGGAGCAAACAGGAUUAGAUACCCUGGUAGUCCACGCCGUAAACGAUGAGUACUAGCUGUCGGAGGUUACCCCCUUCGGUGGCGCAGCUAACGCAUUAAGUACUCCGCCUGGGAAGUACGCUCGCAAGAGUGAAACUCAAAGGAAUUGACGGGGACCCGCACAAGUAGCGGAGCAUGUGGUUUAAUUCGAAGCAACGCGAAGAACCUUACCUAAGCUUGACAUCCUUUUGACCGAUGCCUAAUCGCAUCUUUCCCUUCGGGGACAGAAGUGACAGGUGGUGCAUGGUUGUCGUCAGCUCGUGUCGUGAGAUGUUGGGUUAAGUCCCGCAACGAGCGCAACCCUUGCCUUUAGUUGCCAGCAUUAAGUUGGGCACUCUAGAGGGACUGCCAGGGAUAACCUGGAGGAAGGUGGGGAUGACGUCAAAUCAUCAUGCCCCUUAUGCUUAGGGCUACACACGUGCUACAAUGGGUGGUACAGAGGGCAGCCAAGUCGUGAGGCGGAGCUAAUCCCUUAAAGCCAUUCUCAGUUCGGAUUGUAGGCUGAAACUCGCCUACAUGAAGCUGGAGUUACUAGUAAUCGCAGAUCAGAAUGCUGCGGUGAAUGCGUUCCCGGGUCUUGUACACACCGCCCGUCACACCACGGAAGUUGGGGGCGCCCGAAGCCACUUAGCUAACCCUUUUGGGAAGCGAGUGUCGAAGGUGAAAUCAAUAACUGGGGUGAAGUCGUAACAAGGUAGCCGUAUCGGAAGGUGCGGCUGGAUCACCUCCUUUCUAAGGAGAAUUACCUACUGUUUAAUUUUGAGGGUUUAUUAAAAACUUUCAAAAAGAGGGCGAAGCCCAAAAUAAGUACUUUGAGCACCUAGGCACGAACGAACGUGAGUGGAAGGUAGCGAAGUGCGUUAGCACUUUGAAAACUGCAUAACAUUUAGUGAUAUGACAUCAUUUUGAGCAAUGGAUGUAUCUGAAGCGAGAGCGAAGAUAUAUCAUUGGCGAAACAAGCGAAAGCGAGUUUUAAACAUAUAUAGACAAGAAAAGUCUUAAAAAUUACACUUUUUAAUAACUGGUCAAGUUAUUAAGGGUGCAGGGCGGAUGCCUUGGCACUAGGAGCCGAUGAAGGACGUGAUAAGCUGCGAUAAGCUUCGGGGAGUUGCACGUAAACUUUGAUCCGAAGAUUUCCGAAUGAGGAAACUCACUUAGAGUAAUGUCUAAGUAUCGUUAAGUGAAUACAUAGCUUAGCGAGGGGAACCCGGGGAACUGAAACAUCUAAGUACCUGGAGGAAGAGAAAGAAAUUCGAUUCCGUAAGUAGCGGCGAGCGAAAGCGGAACAGGCCAAACCAAUGAAGUUUACUUCGUUGGGGUUGCGGACAUACAACAUGGAUGCAAUAUCGUAAAUGAAGAGAGUUGGAAAGCUCCGCUAUAGAAGGUAAUAGCCCUGUAGUUGAAACGAGAAAGCUACUAGUAUGAUCCAGAGUACCACGGGACACGUGAAACCCUGUGGGAAGCAGGAGGGACCAUCCUCCAAGCCUAAAUACUACCUAGUGACCGAUAGCGCAU
RNAcentral lists this ribosomal RNA (2261 nucleotides) under uncultured Intestinibacter sp. Its description in RNAcentral is "partial contains 16S ribosomal RNA, 16S-23S ribosomal RNA intergenic spacer, and 23S ribosomal RNA". The stretch from base 1 to 1478 matches the Rfam family "Bacterial small subunit ribosomal RNA". The record is from RNAcentral. Lineage: Bacteria; Bacillati; Bacillota; Clostridia; Peptostreptococcales; Peptostreptococcaceae.